CAGAAGAGCCUGGAACUUCUGUGGGAAGCAACGAGUCCAUCUCAGUACUUUUUUAAAAUGAAGAAGACUUGCCAUUAGUUAUGAACAUCACUCUCAUCACUCUACUAACCACAACUCUCUAAAAAUAUUCUGAACUUCUGAACAAGGCUUCCAUUCCAUUAUAGGAGACCAAAUAACUGCAAAGGUCUAGUAAGAUGUAAAAUGUACCAGCUGAGGAUAAACAGAGUGGUGAGAGUUAUAUCCACACAGAGGAGGGGUAUCUCUUAACCAUGUCCCAUUACAUAGGGGCUCAAUAAAUUUUUUUUGGAAUUGAA
Molecule: long non-coding RNA, 314 nt
Organism: Canis lupus familiaris (dog)
Lineage: Eukaryota; Metazoa; Chordata; Mammalia; Carnivora; Canidae
Exons: 2
Source: RefSeq, a predicted model, not a curated record